GGAGUGAACGCUGGCGGCAGGCCUAACACAUGCAAGUCGAACGGCAGCACAGGAGAGCUUGCUCUCUGGGUGGCGAGUGGCGGACGGGUGAGGAAUACGUCGGAAUCUGCCUAUUUGUGGGGGAUAACGUAGGGAAACUUACGCUAAUACCGCAUACGACCUACGGGUGAAAGCGGAGGACCUUCGGGCUUCGCGCAGAUAGAUGAGCCGACGUCGGAUUAGCUAGUUGCGGGUAAAGCCACCAAGGCGACGAUCCGUAGCUGGUCUGAGAGGAUGAUCAGCCACACUGGAACUGAGACACGGUCCAGACUCCUACGGGAGCAGCAGUGGGAAUAUUGGACAAUGGGCGCAAGCCUGAUCCAGCCCAUGCCGCGUGUGUGAAGAAGGCCUUCGGUUGUAAAGCUACUUUUGUACCGGAAAGAAAGCGACUAGGUUAAUACCCGUGUGUCAGUGACGGUACCGAAGAAUAAGCACCGGUCUAACUUCGUG
This 489-nucleotide ribosomal RNA is filed under the name uncultured soil bacterium. RNAcentral describes it as "bacterial SSU rRNA". It matches the Rfam family "Bacterial small subunit ribosomal RNA", at positions 27 to 507 of the family's 1533-position model. The record is from RNAcentral.